GACGAACGCUGGCGGCGUGCUUAACACAUGCAAGUCGAACGGAAAGACCCUGCUUUUGUGGGGUGCUCGAGUGGCGAACGGGUGAGUAACACGUGAGUAACCUGCCCUUGACUUUGGGAUAACUUCAGGAAACUGGGGCUAAUACCGUAUAGGAGCUCCUGCUGCAUGGUGGUGGUUGGAAAGUUUCGGCGGUUGGGGAUGGACUCGCGGCUUAUCAGCUUGUUGGUGGGGUAGUGGCUUACCAAGGCUUUGACGGGUAGCCGGCCUGAGAGGGUGACCGGCCACAUUGGGACUGAGAUACGGCGCAGACUACUACGGGAGGCAGCAGUGGGGAAUAUUGCACAAUGGGCGGAAGCCUGAUGCAGCAACGCCGCGUGCGGGAUGACGGCCUUCGGGUUGUAAACCGCUUUCGCCUGUGACGAAGCGUGAGUGACGGUAAUGGGUAAAGAAGCACCGGCUAACUACGUG
Molecule: ribosomal RNA, 468 nt
Filed under: uncultured bacterium
Lineage: Bacteria
Description: partial 16S ribosomal RNA
Rfam family: Bacterial small subunit ribosomal RNA
Source: RNAcentral